RNAcentral lists this ribosomal RNA (490 nucleotides) under uncultured bacterium. Its description in RNAcentral is "partial 16S ribosomal RNA". It matches the Rfam family "Bacterial small subunit ribosomal RNA", at positions 30 to 507 of the family's 1533-position model. The record is from RNAcentral.
AUUGAACGCUGGCGGCAUGCCUAAUACAUGCAAGUCGAACGAACACAGGAAGAACCUUGCUUCUUUGUUGACGAGUCGCGGACGGGUGAGAAAUGUCUAGGAAACAGCCUGAUGGAUGGGAAUAAUUACUGAAAACGGAAGCUAAUCCCGCAUAACGUUUCAAGCCCAAAGAGGAGAACCUUCGGGCCUCUUUGCAUCGGAUGUGCCCAGAUGGGAUUAGCUAGUAGGUGGGGUAACGGCUCACCUAGGCGACGAUCCCUAGCUGGUCUGAGAGGAUGACCCGCAACACUGGAGCUGAGACACGGUCCAGACUCCUAAGGGAGGCAGCAGUGGGGAAUAUUGCGCAAUGGGCGGAAGCCUGAUGGAGCCAUGCCGCGUGUAUGAAGAAGGGCUUCGGGUCGUAAAGUACUUUCAGCGGGGAGGAAGAGAGUAAUGUUAAUACCUUUGCACAUUGACGUUACCCGAAGAAGAAGCACCGGCUAACUCCGUG